AGGUUACUGCUAUCGAGGUUCGACUAAGCCAUGCGAGUCGAAUGUAGCAAUACAUGGCGUACUGCUCAGUAACACGUGGACAACCUACCCUUAGGCCUGGGAUAACCCCGGGAAACUGGGAAUAAUACCGGAUAUCUCGCGAAUGCUGGAAUGCGUCGCGAUAGAAAGCUCCGGCGCCUAAGGAUGGGUCUGCGGCCUAUCAGGGUAGUAGUGGGUGUAACGUACCUACUAGCCUACGACGGGUACGGGUUGUGAGAGCAAGAGCCCGGAGAUGGAUUCUGAGACACGAAUCCAGGCCCUACGGGGUGCAGCAGGCGCGAAAACUUUACAAUGCUGGAAACAGCGAUAAGGGGACCUCGAGUGCCAGGAUACAAUCCUGGCUGUCGUAAUGCCUAAAAAGCAUUGCAUAGCAAGGGCCGGGCAAGACCGGUGCCAGCCGCCGCGGUAACACCGGCGGCUCGAGUGGUAACCGCUAUUAUUGGGUCUAAAGGGUC
Molecule: ribosomal RNA, 494 nt
Filed under: uncultured archaeon
Lineage: Archaea
Description: bacterial SSU rRNA
Rfam family: Archaeal small subunit ribosomal RNA
Source: RNAcentral